CGCCAAGAGGCACCCAGCCGGCAGGGGUCGCCGCUGUCGCAGGCGGAGGGCAAGGGGUCGUGACCGGCUGAGCCCCUACCCACCCCCUCCCCGGGAGGCUGGAUGCAGGAUCCUGAGCCUUCUCGGGGAGACAGACCUUACCCCCACUUUACAGAGGAGGACUCCCCAGCCCAGAGCCGGACUAGUCCUCCGGACUGCCAAGGUGACUCGAAACAAGGAAAGGCUGAGGCACUGUCACAGCCUGGCGGAGCCCAGGGAGACGGGACAGCUAACUGGUCUCCUGGAGGGAAUCCUGAAACAGGGUGAUGGACAUUCGGCAGCUACUAAGGAGAUCUGAAUAAGGAUACUGGGAAGAGCAGCAGGGCUCCACCGGGGAAGAACGCUUGAGAAUUGCCGUGGACUAAAUCCCGGGUCGUGGACAAUCCUGACUCCUCGGUGUUCUCUGGGGCCCGCUGGCCCUGGAGAGAGAGGGCAGAGUGAGAAACGGUUAGAGAAGGAAGGGCAAGCUGACCACACAGGACCCUUGACAAAGGAUGGCCCCUUCCCGGAAACACAGCUCCCAGUGUCAGGUGCUGGGGGAGGCGGUGACAGCUGGCAGCAUGGCAGGUUUCUGGCUCUUCCUCGGAGGCAGCAGAGCGGCCAUCCCGAACUUAGGCCCUGUGCUGUGUGACUUUGGGCCAGUCCCUUGGCCUCUCUGUGCUUGGUUCCUUAUGGGUGAAGUGUUAUUUGGCUCCUCCCAAGAGGAUGUGUGGGGUUGAGUGAGAUGACAUUUGUCCACUGCCAGCACCAGAAACCUGUUCAAGAUAUGUUCAUGAGGAAGAGGACAGCUCAGGCAGCUGAAGGGCCCUGUUCCAGGAGAUGCCUCUGGAGGAGAGGGACCUCAGGCCCAGCCCUAGCUCAGAGCCCCACUGCCCAGGCCGUCCUGAGACUCAGCUCUGUGCCGGAGGAGGACGGGCAGGAGGGCAGGGUGUUCCUUGGCCCCGACCCUUCCCUGCCUCCUUCCUCUGAAACAGGGACCAGGGAGUCCAAGCUCGUGCUGGGCCCGCACUGCCCACGAAGCGCAGUCAGGGGACUGGCACGAGGUGCCUGCUGUCUGGGCAGCGCUGCAAACGGAAACCACAAGGUCCUCCCCAGGCCAGAAGCAGGCCAGCUCAGGACACAGGGAUUCCCGGGGUGCCUGGAGCCCUGGCAAAGCCUUGGACCCCUUCACAGUGCUACUUUUUAAG
Molecule: long non-coding RNA, 1226 nt
Filed under: Heterocephalus glaber (naked mole-rat)
Lineage: Eukaryota; Metazoa; Chordata; Mammalia; Rodentia; Bathyergidae
Description: lncRNA (ENSHGLG00000037981.1)
Source: RNAcentral